CAAACGACUCUCGGCAAGGGAUAUCUUGGCUCUCGCAUCGAUGAAGAACGUAGCAAAAUGCGAUACCUGGUGUGAAUUGCAGAAUCCCGUGAACCAUCGAGUUUUUGAACGCAAGUUGCGCCCGAGGCCUUCUGGCCGAGGGCACGUCUGCCUGGGCGUCACG
This 163-nucleotide ribosomal RNA is filed under the name Enneapogon cenchroides. Its description in RNAcentral is "5.8S ribosomal RNA". It matches the Rfam family "5.8S ribosomal RNA". Rfam says of the family: 5.8S ribosomal RNA (5.8S rRNA) is a component of the large subunit of the eukaryotic ribosome. It is transcribed by RNA polymerase I as part of the 45S precursor that also contains 18S and 28S rRNA. Lineage: Eukaryota; Viridiplantae; Streptophyta; Magnoliopsida; Poales; Poaceae. The record is from RNAcentral.